Molecule: ribosomal RNA, 254 nt
Filed under: uncultured bacterium
Lineage: Bacteria
Description: partial 16S ribosomal RNA
Rfam family: Bacterial small subunit ribosomal RNA
Source: RNAcentral
UACAGAGGUGGCAAGCGUUGUUCGGAAUUACUGGGCGUAAAGGGCGCGUAGGCGGUCUUCUAAGUCUUGUGUGAAAUCCCUCGGCUCAACUGAGGAACUGCACGGGAUACUGGAAGACUUGAGUUCGGGAGAGGGAAGCGGAAUUCCGGGUGUAGCGGUGAAAUGCGUAGAUAUCCGGAGGAACACCGGUGGCGAAGGCGGCUCCUGGACCGAUUACUGACGCUGAGGCGCGAAAGCUAGGGGAGCAAAGCGGG